Molecule: long non-coding RNA, 6744 nt
Organism: Callithrix jacchus (white-tufted-ear marmoset)
Lineage: Eukaryota; Metazoa; Chordata; Mammalia; Primates; Cebidae
Source: RefSeq, a predicted model, not a curated record
CCUUAGUCUUUAGCCGAGUUGGCAGCUACAAGACGACGCUCAGAGCCCAGCUCUCGAGAGUUCAAACAUCUGAAAGUUCCCCACUGCUCCGAGAAGGGGCUACCUGGGCACUCUGUGCCCCUUAUCCCUGUCCGGCCCAAGUGCCAAGGACCUGCCAGUAGGGCUCAGUUGCCUUGAGCCCGCUCUCCCCAUCCCUCCGUUCACCUUGCUUGUGGGAUCUCCUCCCUGCUGUGUCAAAACAACUUCAAGAAGGUUUUCCAGCGAUCCUGCCUCUGCCUUCAAUUUGGAUGCACAGGGUGAAAAGGCAGCAGAUGCACCACCAGGGGAGAAACUGGCCCCCAGGAAUGGCUCCCCCACAUCUCAGGAGUCUAGGCCUCGUAGAAGAAAGUUUCCUCUGCUGCCACGGAGGGUGAAAAGGCAGCAGAUGCACCACCAGGGAAACUGGACCCCAGGAAUGGCUCCCCCACAUCUCAGGAGUCUAGGCCUCGUAGAAGAAAGUUUCCUCUGCUGCCACGCAGGUGAAGGGAGCCUCUGAUGCUGCCACCUCCCUUACAGCUGGGUUACCGGGUCACUGCUGAAGACAUGGACCUGGAGAAGAAGGCAACACUCUGGUGCAUUAAUAGUGCACUGCAGGGUGAGACCUAGGCAAUCCGGGACUGUAGAGCCUCACGGCCUUCCCAAGCUUUGUCCUCACCUGCAACAGGGACUUGUCCGUCUGCUGUCCCUAAAGCACCCAGCAUGGAUGCACAUCAGCAGACUCACAAGUCCUCAGGAUACCUGGGCCGUGUGUCCCUCCUAGCAUCUGCUGCAGGGGACCCCUCUAGACCUGCUGUGUCUGGGAGGAAGCGCUGCUCAUCAAGCCCCCUGUUCUCCUAAUAUCCCCUUCCUGACACCUCUUCACACUCCCGGGACACAACCCAGGUCACCUCGCUGAUUUGUGCCCCCUUCCCAGCUCCACGUGCGGACUGCAUGUGGCCUGAGAAGCCCAAGGCCUGGCACUUCUGCUGCUGCAGCUGCCACAGGGGCCCUUACCCCCUCUACAUGGAACCCCACGUGGCGUGCCCCACCAAGUGGAGGGCAAAGAGGCCCCUCACAUCCCUGGGCCUCAGCCACAGCUGCAGCAGGUACCCAGUCUGCCUUUCCUGCCUCUCCCAGCAGCAAAAGGAUGAAAUCCCCAACCCCAAUGUGUGUGCAUUUCCCUGUCCCCUUCACACAGGGACCCCUUGUUUCCACUGACCCUCUCUCUCCUGGUCUGCAGAUUGCUGUAUCUGGAUCUGGUUCCAGUUCUGCAGCCAGCACAUCUGCUAACCUGGCACCCAAGGCAGCAAGUGACUCUGAGGUUACCCUCUUAGAUACAGUCCCUUUUCCCAGCCUCUCUUUCUGGGCCCUCCUGCAGCCUCCAGCGUAAGCUUCCUCCAAUCUCCUCAGGCCCAUCUGAUGCGCCUCAGGCACAGCACGUCCUCAGGAAAGGACACCAGCAGCCCAGCAGGAUGAAGGGUCUGUGGUCCCACUCCAGUACCAAAACUUCCUGUUACCGCAGCAGCCACAGCCCAGCACAAACCUGUGGUCCUUCAUGGGCAGCAGCAGGGAACCCGCACCUCGAAGCACUCUUUUUGUCUUCCCAUCUGGCAGCUCCAGUUGCAGCCCCAGCCUCAUCUGCUCCAAGAAAGCCAGCCCAGGGCACCACAGCACACUCAGCUGCAGGAGUCUCAUUACCCACCACUUGCACCUUAAGUCUCCUGGCCAGAAGCAAGUGGGCCUGGCUGUGGCUGCCGGCUCAGCUGGGUCCCUUCCUGAGGCAUCCGCUGCCUCUGCCUGUGAGGUGCAUGCUGCCUCCUCACACGGUGCCUCUGCCAAAACCAGGUGGCUUCGCUAAACGUUGAAAGCAGGGGCCCAGCCCCCUUGAGACUGGUGGUUUCUGCAACACAAACGGGCCUGGGGAGCAGAGAGGCAGCCCCAGCUCUGAGUUCCAGAAAUGGAUCCCUCAGCACCAAAGUGGCAAAGAGAAAGGCCCUGAGCACCACACACAGCAAUGGGGUAUGAGGGGGCCUGAACACCAGGGGACCCCCACUAGGCAGAGCACCCACGUGGUGGCCGGGGGAGGCAACACAAGGAGCAAUUCUAUUGGCCGGCAUUUUUGUCUUUCCUUUCAGUCAUAUUUCUGGGACACCAUUUAAGCAGUCACCCCCAAUUACAAGGUGGGGACCCAGUGCCACUGCAAAACAAGGCAGGCUUUGGGUGCAAGUCUGGGCCAGCUUCUGACCCUGGCAACCCCACUGCCCACGUGGGCACAGCAAGAAGGAACCUGGCCUGUAAGGCUUCCUCGUGCGCUGUCCAGGGUUCUGCUGGACACAGGUCCGCUGGGCCAUCCUCCAGCUCAUCCUUCUUAAGGUCAGGCUUUUGAGGUCUUCCUCAUUGAUUCCUUGCCUGGAGCGAAGUCCAGAAGAGUUUUCUCUUGGUUUUCCUCUAACAUUUUUGUAGUUUCAUAUCUUACAUUCAAGUCUUGGAUGUAUCCGGAGGUGAUGUUUGUAUAUGGUGAUAUGGUGAGAGAUAGGGGUCCAGUUUCAUUCUUCUGCAUGCGGCUAUCCAGCCCUCCCAGUGCCAUUCACUGAAAAGGGCAUCCUUUCCUCUAAGUGUGUUUCUGUCGGCUCUCUUUAAGAUCAAUUGGCUGUGAAUAUGUGGCUGUCUUUCUGGGCUCUCUCAUGUGUCUGUCCCAUUGAUCUAUGUGUCUAUUUUCAUGCUAUGAUCAUGCUGUUUUACUUACCACACACUUGUCAAAAUUUUUGUUGUUCUAAUUUGUAGUAAAAUGGGAUGCCUCUAGUUUCUUUUUCUAUUUGCUGAGGAUGACUUUGGCUCUUUGAGCUCUUUUGGUUCCAUAUGAAUUGUAGAAUUUCCCAGUUCUGUGAGUGAUGACGUUGGUAUUUUGGUAGGGGUUGUAUUCAAUCUCUAGACUGCUUUGGGCAGUAUGGUCAUUUUAAUGCUAUGAAUUCCUUCCAUCCAUGAGCACGGGAUGAUUGCCCAUUUCUUUGUGUCCUCUUAAACUUUUUCAUCAGUGUUUUGUAGUUUUCCUUGUAGAAAUCUCGUACCCCCUCGAUAGAAUUCAUUCUGUGGCAUAACGUUUUUCAUUUUGUUGCUAUUGUAAAUGGGAUUGCCUUUUUAAUUUCUUUCCCAGUUAGACCAUUAUUGGUGUAUAGAAAUGCUGAUUUUUCUAUGUUGAUUCUUUAUCCUGCUAAUAACUGUAUUUUCUUAUCAAGUCUAGGAGUUUUCUGGUGGAGCCUUUACAUGUUUCUAAAUCCAGGAUCACAUCUUCAUCAGACAAAGAUAAUUUGAUGUCCUUGUUUCCAUGACUUGGGUUAUGCAAGGCUCUGCCUGUCAGCUGGCCAUCGCGGACCAGCUCUCUUCCAGUGAGAACGCCCAAGCUCUUACACCCCUGCCCCGGGUGUGGCCAUGCUCCCUCCCAGAAGUGACCUCCAACCCGAUCCUCCUCCCCGUCUUGUGGCAUCUGCUCUGGGGAAGGGCAUUUUGGCCUCAAGGGCUGAGCGUGUCAUUCCGUUUUCUGUUGAUCUUUCCAGAGCUGUCUGGGAGAGCCCGUGCAUUAGUUCAUGUACUGUUUCUAUGGAGGCAAUCACGGCUUUCUUUCAGGGCUGGAUAUAAAAGUUCUUGUGAGGCUUCUGUAUAAACUCUGCCUUUACCACAUGAAUAGGACCAGCACGCUUCCACUACACGACUCUGAAAUCUGCCUUUAUUUAUUUACUUAUUCACUUACUUAUUUUUCCAGGGCCUCAGACAUAGAUGGUUGUUUGACAUUUAUGUACUUUUUUUGAGACAGAAUCUCACUCUGUCACCCAUGCUGAAGCAUAGUGGCGGGACCUUGGCUCAACCUCUGCUCCUGGGUUCAAGUAAUUCUCCUGUCUCAGCCUCCCGAGUUUCUGGGACUGUAGGCACACGCCACAGCUCCCAGCUAAUUUUUGUAUUCUUAGUAGAGACCUGGUUUUGGUAUAUUGGUCAGGUUGGUCUCGAACUCCUGACCUCAGGUGAUAUAUUUGCCUCAGUCUCCCAAAGUGCUGGGAUUACAGGUGUACAUUAAUUAAUUAUUUGUUAGGGAGUCUUGCUCAGUGGGCCAGGCUAGAGUGCAAUGCUGCAUUCUAGACUCACUGCAACCUCCGCCUCCUCGGUUCAAGUGAUUCUCCUGCCUCAGCAUCCUGAGCAGCUGGGGUUACGGACACCUGCCACUGUAUGUAGCCAAUUUUUGUGUUUUUAGUAGUCAUGGGAUUUCACCAUCUUGGCUAGGCUGGUCUUGAACUCCUGACCUUGUGAUCCACCCUCCUUGGCCUCCCAAAGUGUUGGGAUUAUAUGGGUGAGCCACCACCCCUGGCCACAUUUGUUUAUUUGUUUAGAGACAGGGUCUCCCUCGGUCGCUUAGGCUGGAGCGCAGUGGCACCAUUUCAGCUCACUGCAGUCUCUGCCUCUGGGGUUCAAGUGAUUCUCAUGCUUCAGCCUCCUGAGUAACUGGGACUACAGGUGUGACACCAUGCAGGGACAAUUUUUUCUAGAGACAGGGUUUCAUGAUAUUGGUCAGGCUGGUCCCAAACUCCUGACCUCAGGUGAUCUGUCUGCCCUGUCCUUUCAGAGUACGAAGAUUACAGGUGUGAGCCACUGUGCCAGGUAUCUCACUAGGUUUAAAUGAUGCAGUGGCUCAUGCCUGUAAUCCCAUCACACUGGGAGGCCAGGGCAGGCAGAUCACCUAAGGUCAGGAGUUCGACACCACCCUGGCCAACAUAAGGAAACCCCAUAUCUACUAAAAAUACAAAAAUUAGACAGGUGUGGUGGCGUGAGCCUGUAGUCCCAGCUACUUGAAGGCUGAGGCAGGAGAAUCAGUUUAACCCGCUAGGCAGAGGUUGUAGUGAGCCAAGGUUGUGCUACUGCACUACAGCCUGGGUGACAGAGUGAGAGUCCGUCUCAAAAAAAAAAAAAACAAAAAACGGUAAAAUACAUGCUGCCUGGAUAUCUCGGUCUGAGUGCCUGCAUGAGCACAGCAGUGUACAGGCCAGGGCUGCUGGUCGAGGGCAGGUCCCAUCUUGUCCAGCAGAAAGGGAAUGAGCUUACGGGGAGGCUGGAGAACAAGAUUCCAGGAUCUCAGCCUCUGCUCAUAGAUCAGCUCUGAGACCCCAAGUGAGCUGGGGGUGCUCUGUGUGCCUUGGUUUCCCCAGCUAUCAAGUAGAGAGAUUGGAUGAGGAAGUCUCUUCAAGGUGGAAUGAACUCAGAUUUGGGGCGAAAUGAAUGGUCCUGCUCCCUGGUGUUGGUGACACUAUUAAACAGGGCUGUGGAGAGAAGCUGAGAAGGGUCACAUUGCAGGCAGGGACCUGUGUGACAAGCCCCUCUCACCCCGAGAGAGCUGACCAGGCAGCUCAGGAAGUCACCUCCUGGGAGUCUGAGAAAGGUCCUGGCUGGGCUCAGCAACCUCAUUGGCCAUGGUAGGCUUUGCCGUGUGAGCCUUGCUCACCUGGGGAGGCUCAGGCUGACAGCUGAUGUGGACAGUGCUGAGGGUAAACCUGUGGCACAGAUGUGGCCAGGUCUCCUCAAGCUGCACUCACCCAAGUAGGACCCAGGCUGCACGCCCAUCUCCAGCCCAUGGCAGCUCUCCUGUAAGCUGGACAGGCUUCUGAGGGCAAGACGAUAGGCAGCUGAGAAUACCCAGGGCCCACGCACAGGUGGUGGAAAGGCUGGACUCAGCAGCAACACCAAACCACCAAACCCCAGACCAAGCAGAAACCACCCGAGACCAGGGGCUCGUACAGAGCAGUGGCCGCAGGUAAGAACCCAGGCCCAGGCUGUGUGUGGCGGGAGUCCUCCCUGUCCCAGGGCCCAGCACAGCAAAGGAGCACCAGCCAGGUCAUCCUGGCAGCGGUCUGUCCCAGAUCCACCUGCAGGGGCAGAAAAGCCUCUCCCAAGGUGGGAUUGUCUCUCUCCAGCAAAACAACAGUGGUCUCUGCCCUAAUCACACUGCCCAACUCAGUGGUUACUGCUGCUGCUCCAGCGUCCUAUGCUGUCCAGCCGGCACCUGUCUGUGCUCAUCCAUACCCCCCAGGCCUGCCUUCCCUGUGGACUGUGCUUGGCCACCUUGGCCUGAUUGAGCACUGAGGCCUCCUGGGCACCCAGCCAAUCACUGCACCUGCGUUUUCCGGCCCCCACCCCACUGGCUCAGGGGUUCCACCCAGCGGCGCUGAUGAUGAAAUCAACAAGCACUGGAAUCAUGUCAGAGAACUUUAAUGAAAGUGUCGGCAGUUCUUUCCCCCACGGUGCUGUGCAGGUGGCCGAGCUCAUAUUGCCGCUGUUAAGACACCAGCCACUUACAGAGAGAAAGCGAGGCUGCUUCAAACCCAGGGCCUGAUGCAAAAAAGCAUCACUUCUGGUCAGGGAGUCUGGCAGCCAUGCCUUGGGGGAGGUCACACUGGCGCCCAGGCCUCUGUCUGCAUUGCAGGGGGAGAGCUGGGUCCCGUCCUGGAGAACGCUGCAUUUCCCAGUCCCGAACCAGCUUUACCUCUGCACAGGAUUUUGAGCCAGGACGCAGGUAAGUGACACACCUCAAGUCCUAAAGCCAUCAUCACUCCUGGAACCCAGUGGGGGAGGAUCCUUUUUAGAACAUGGAAAGUGUGGUCAUCCCAUCAUUAGACAAGCACACAUCGUACAUAAAUAAAAGUCGCAUGGGGAUGCAGGUAGGGGGGAAACGAAAAUUGGCACAGC